UUGGGAGGUUUUUGGAAGAAGUAG
Molecule: non-coding RNA, 24 nt
Filed under: Cricetulus griseus (Chinese hamster)
Lineage: Eukaryota; Metazoa; Chordata; Mammalia; Rodentia; Cricetidae
Source: RNAcentral